RNAcentral lists this ribosomal RNA (400 nucleotides) under uncultured bacterium. RNAcentral describes it as "bacterial SSU rRNA". It matches the Rfam family "Bacterial small subunit ribosomal RNA", at positions 29 to 432 of the family's 1533-position model. The record is from RNAcentral.
AUUGAACGCUGGCGGCAUGCCUUACACAUGCAAGUCGAACGGCAGCACGGGAGCAAUCCUGGUGGCGAGUGGCGAACGGGUGGGUAAUACAUCGGGACGUGCCCGGUAGUGGGGGAUAACCCGGCGAAAGCCGGACUAAUACCGCAUACGACCUACGGGUGAAAGCAGGGGAUCGCAAGACCUUGCGCUAUCGGAGCGGCCGAUGUCAGAUUAGCUUGUUGGCGGGGUAAAAGCCCACCAAGGCGACGAUCUGUAGCUGGUCUGAGAGGACGACCAGCCACACUGGGACUGAGACACGGCCCAGACUCCUACGGGAGGCAGCAGUGGGGAAUUUUGGACAAUGGGCGCAAGCCUGAUCCAGCCAUGCCGCGUGCGGGAAGAAGGCCUCGGUUGGUAACGU